This 468-nucleotide ribosomal RNA is filed under the name uncultured bacterium. RNAcentral describes it as "partial 16S ribosomal RNA". It matches the Rfam family "Bacterial small subunit ribosomal RNA", at positions 28 to 507 of the family's 1533-position model. The record is from RNAcentral.
GACGAACGCUGGCGACGUGCUUAACACAUGCAAGUCGAACGGAAAGGCCCUGCUUUUGUGGGGUGCUCGAGUGGCGAACGGGUGAGUAACACGUGAGUAACCUGCCCUUGACUUUGGGAUAACUUCAGGAAACUGGGGCUAAUACCGGAUAGGAGCUCCUGCUGCAUGGUGGGGGUUGGAAAGUUUCGGCGGUUGGGGAUGGACUCGCGGCUUAUCAGCUUGUUGGUGGGGUAGUGGCUUACCAAGGCUUUGACGGGUAGCCGGCCUGAGAGGGUGACCGGCCACAUUGGGACUGAGAUACGGCCCAGACUCCUACGGGAGGCAGCAGUGGGGAAUAUUGCACAAUGGGCGGAAGCCUGAUGCAGCAACGCCGCGUGCGGGAUGACGGCCUUCGGGUUGUAAACCGCUUUCGCCUGUGACGAAGCGUGAGUGACGGUAAUGGGUAAAGAAGCACCGGCUAACUACGUG